This 76-nucleotide transfer RNA is filed under the name Candidatus Woesebacteria bacterium. RNAcentral describes it as "tRNA-Gly". It matches the Rfam family "tRNA". From Rfam's summary of the family: Transfer RNA (tRNA) molecules are approximately 80 nucleotides in length. Their secondary structure includes four short double-helical elements and three loops (D, anti-codon, and T loops). The record is from RNAcentral. Lineage: Bacteria; Candidatus Woeseibacteriota.
GCGGGUGUAGCUCAGUUGGUUAGAGCGUCAGUUUUCCAAACUGAAUACAGGGGUCCGAUUCCCCUUACCCGCUCCA